This 1904-nucleotide long non-coding RNA is filed under the name Marmota monax (woodchuck). The record is from RNAcentral. Lineage: Eukaryota; Metazoa; Chordata; Mammalia; Rodentia; Sciuridae.
UGCCCCAGGAGAACAUCACACUUUCCCACUGCAGCUACUACAGAGAGUUGCUUCUAAGGGCGGGCCGGAGAUUCUGUGAGAAGUUCAAAGCAAGGCCUAAGGCUCUGCGUGAACAUUCAAGUUGGCGGAUGUUGACAUGUAUGUACAUGACUUUCCCUGUUGUUCUUCCUGAUCCAGCAAAAAACGGGAGUCUAAAGCGCUUACAAGCCUUGGGAUUUUGAGCAUGUGCAGGCCAGACAACAGGAGGUGCUCACUGACGUCAACUUUGAUCUGGAGAAAAAGUUUCAGAUUGGUAAAAAUUAGAGGGUGAGUAACCCCAGUGACUCAUCUAUGAGUUCAUUCAAUAUUGUGUGCCAGGAACUGUCAGGACAAAGAGAGUCUUUCAAAGGCCCAGUUUUCAGGGAAGCUACAGCCCAGAUAUAUAAGCCGGUGGUUUCCGUUAUUACUACAUACAAUGCCAUUACCACUGCAGAGGCAAGAAGCUGGGUAAUAUGGGCAUAGUUUAAAAAAGUAAAAAUCUGCCUCCUCAUUGUCCAGGCUUGGAAAACUGACACAAAUAAAGGUAGCUACAAAAUAAACAAAAAGGUGACUCCCCCAGUAACACAUUACAGCUAUGAAGUAUCAACACAAUCCCCUUCUUAGAGCACUACUUUUGUAUUGACUGAAAACCUUUGUUCUCUAAAAUCAUAGAUUAUCAGAAUCUUUGCUGUCUGAAAUUUUAUCAGUAGGACUGAAGCAUUUCACUCUUGCCUGAAGUCACUUUGAUUCAGAAGUAGCCUUAAUUUACAACCCAGUGCAAAGCUUUGGAAAGAGGUCUGUGGACAUAGCACUCCAUAUCUAAACAUCCUAAGGCCACUUUGCAAUUCAUACUUGACCUUGACCUUUUUAUAGGAGCCUAGUUUUGCUUUCAGGUUGUCAAAACAUUGCUUCAUUUUAAUUGGUAUCCGUCCAGCAAAUUCUACAUUGACUCUAUCCUUUGGUACUGUUGUGUACAUUCUCUUACAAUGGGUUGAUAAACCUAGCUUUGCCAGAUUAUGGGUCUGGGACGUCUAGAUGGGCUAGGACAUUUAAUAAAUGUCUGAGGUGAUAGAUGUGUCACUGACCCUGAUCUGAUCAUUACACAUUAUAUACAUGUACUGAAAUAUCACAUUGUACCACUGUAAAUACGUAUAAUUGCCAUGUGUCAGUUUAAAACAAAAAUAUAUUUUAAAUGUAAAAUAUGUAGAAAGUUUAUAUUCAGAGAAAAAAAUUCUAAAAGAAGAGUAUGGUCAAAGAGAGUUUACGGCCUGGUACAGCAGCGCACACCCGUAAUCCCAGUGCCCUGGGAGGCUGAGGCAGGAGGAUCGUGAGUUCAAAACCAGCCUCAGCAAUUUAGCCCUAAGCCACUCAGUGAGACCCUGUCUCUAAAUAAAAUACAAAAAAAGUCUGGGGAUGUGGCUCAGUGGUUGAGUGCCCUGAGUUCAAUCCCCAGUACCAAAAAACAAACAAACAAAAGAAAGAAAGAGUUUACAAUUUCACGAGGAUGAAUUCCUGGCCAAUUCAUACUAAUCCUAUAAGACUCAAUUCAUAAAUUACCUCUCCUUUAGAACUGGCCAUAAUCCUGCCUUCCUCUUCUAAACUCUGGUGGCAGAUGCCACCAUAAUAUUAUGAUUAUAGGCUUACCUGUAUCUCCAUUUGUCUUAGCUUUUUGGGAGCACGGCCUGACAUUGAUCUACAAAUGCCUGGCACCUGGCCCAUGGAAGGGGCUUAAUGUUUACAAGAUGAGCCAACAAGAGAAGCAGAGACUGGGAGCAAGAAAACCCACUGCCAGGGCUGGGGAUGUGGCUCAAGCAGUAGUGCGCUUUCCUGGCAUGUGCGCAGCACUGGGUUCGAUCCUCAGCACCAUAUACAAAUAAAGAUGUUGU